AGAUCUUCUGGCUAUAGUUUGUUUGAACUUCUAUUCUUUAAGAUCAAAAUACAAACAAUUAUCAGAAGAUUUC
Molecule: non-coding RNA, 73 nt
Organism: Ciona intestinalis (vase tunicate)
Lineage: Eukaryota; Metazoa; Chordata; Ascidiacea; Phlebobranchia; Cionidae
Source: RefSeq